CGGGGGGGGCAAGCGUUGUUCGGAAUUACUGGGCGUAAAGGGCUCGUAGGUGGCCAACUAAGUCAGACGUGAAAUCCCUCGGCUUAACCGGGGAACUGCAUCUGAUACUGGAUGGCUUGAGUUUGGGAGAGGGACGCGGAAUUCCAGGUGUAGCGGUGAAAUGCGUAGAUAUCUGGAGGAACACCGGUGGCGAAGGCGGCGUCCUGGACCAACACUGACACUGAUGAGCGAAAGCCAGGGGAGCAAACGGGAUUAGAUACCCCGGUAGUCCUGGCCCUAAGCGAUGAAUGCUUGGUGUGGCGGGUAUCGAUCCCUGCCGUGCCGAAGCUAACGCAUUAAGCAUUCCGCCUGGGGAGUACGGUCGCAAGGCUG
Molecule: ribosomal RNA, 372 nt
Filed under: uncultured organism
Description: bacterial SSU rRNA
Rfam family: Bacterial small subunit ribosomal RNA
Source: RNAcentral